This 744-nucleotide ribosomal RNA is filed under the name Teratosphaeria viscida. Its description in RNAcentral is "eukaryotic LSU rRNA". It matches the Rfam family "Eukaryotic large subunit ribosomal RNA", at positions 95 to 871 of the family's 3401-position model. Lineage: Eukaryota; Fungi; Ascomycota; Dothideomycetes; Mycosphaerellales; Teratosphaeriaceae. The record is from RNAcentral.
GAAGCGGCAACAGCUCAAAUUUGAAAUCUGGCGCAAGCCCGAGUUGUAAUUUGUAGAGGAUGCUUCAGGGCAGCGGCCGGUCUAAGUUCCUUGGAACAGGACGUCGUAGAGGGUGAGAAUCCCGUAUGCGACCGGUUGGCACCCGUCACGUAGCUCCUUCGACGAGUCGAGUUGUUUGGGAAUGCAGCUCUAAAUGGGAGGUAAAUUUCUUCUAAAGCUAAAUACCGGCCAGAGACCGAUAGCGCACAAGUAGAGUGAUCGAAAGAUGAAAAGCACUUUGGAAAGAGAGUUAAAAAGCACGUGAAAUUGUUGAAAGGGAAGCGCAUGCCACCAGACUUGUCGGCGGUGUUCCGCCGGUCUUCUGACCGGUCCACUCGCCGCUGGCAGGCCAGCAUCAUCUGGGCGCGCCGGACAAAGGCGUGGGGAAUGUAGCUCCUCGGAGUGUUAUAGCCCCGCGCACAAUACGGUGCCGCCCGGGUGAGGUCCGCGCUUCGGCUAGGAUGCUGGCGUAAUGGUGGCCUGCGGCCCGUCUUGAAACACGGACCAAGGAGUCUAACAUCUAUGCGAGUGUUUGGGUGUCAAACCCCGGCGCGGAAUGAAAGUGAACGGAGGUGGGAAGCGCAAGCUGCACCAUCGACCGAUCCUGAUGUCUUCGGAUGGAUUUGAGUAAGAGCAUAGCUGUUGGGACCCGAAAGAUGGUGAACUAUGCCUGAAUAGGGUGAAGCCAGAGGAAACUCUGGUGGA